AUUAAGUUGACUGCCCCAGCAGAAGUUUCUCCUUGAACCCGUUCGGCCUUGCUGUGGUCGUGCUGGCUGUGCCCCGGUUUUCCCCUGGGAGUGCCACGUUGCGACCGUUACACUUUGGCGGGAUCGGGUGGCUAGAGUGUACAUGUAUUGGUCAGUUCUGCCCAUUGCCACAUCACCAUUCCCAAACAAGUCAGCACCAAGCAGGGCUGCUGCCUGCUAUGCUGCAUGCUUCGUUCCAUCAUUAUAAAUUGAGCUACAAUAUUCAGUUUCUUGUAAAGAUCAUCUGGUUCCUCUGCAUAUAUACGUAGGAAUGGUGGACCCCCUUUCAUAGUGACUUCCAUUUUGACUGCACACAAGUGGAUGUUUUCUACGGAAGGCAGAGUCGUUAUAAUAGUGUCUCUACAGACAGGUCUAGCCUUCCUGUCCUGCUAUUCAUGUUCUCAAUUCGGAGUACCAAGUAGAACCCGCCACGUUAGAAUUCGUACAGAGAUGCUUCAUGAGAAUCUGGAAUGUGGGACCAAAUGCACAAGAAGAGGGGAAAUCAAACGCACAGGUCAGGACGUUCAGAGGAAGAGAGAAAAGAUCAAUUGCCAUGUUGCAACAUUUUGUUUGCAAACGUGUAGACUAUAAGUGGAAGUGAUUAUAUUGUUGAAAGAUCUAAAGAAUGACGAAUGCCACAGAUAAACUUUGAUGAGAGUAUCAAGAGUUCAAAAAGUUUUACUCCAUGUGAAUCCAAAGUUUACCAAAACGAGUCACUUAAAGGUACAAGAUCUAUUACCCAGGCCUGAUUUUACCUUGAAAAAUAUAUUUAAAUGUGUAAUUACUAUUUCUGUGUGAUCUCCAAAGAGAUAAGCCUUCAGAUGCGACACGCCAAAUAAAAACCAUCCACGGAUAAACCCACAGCUAUCUAGAAAAUGUGCUAGUACAUGUAUAUCCACUCAUUAAAUUAAUAAAACAAAUGAUAACAUAAAUAUAAUCACAGAAAAUUGUUGUAACACUUAGAAUGGCCUUGUCCAGUACUAAGGUCACCACAGGCAAUAAUGUUCUGUAUACACAAUUUUGUGGAAUGUGUAAACCUUUUCUUAACAUCUGUACAAUUGUUCUGAAAAAGAACAAGAUGUGGUUUAUUAGUUAAAAACCCUUGGAAUAACAAAUGAUUUUGAACAAUCAAUUCAAUUGAAGAAUAGAAAGAUGUCUAAUUGUGUUUCAACAUUUGUUCUUAACUAAAUAUUUGAAUUAUUUGAACAUAAUAAAAAAUCUUUCUCGUAUUAUUAGUUAUCAUUGUUCAAAUUUCACGCAAUAAAGAGAAUAAAAGUUUCAAACGAGGAACAGUUGUCAUCUGUGUGCAAUUUUUGUAAAUUUUUUACUGGAUCAGUAGGC
This 1380-nucleotide long non-coding RNA is filed under the name Patiria miniata (bat star). RNAcentral's name for it is "uncharacterized LOC119726928". Lineage: Eukaryota; Metazoa; Echinodermata; Asteroidea; Valvatida; Asterinidae. The record is from RNAcentral.